UCCCUGGAGGACUAGUGGUUAGGCCUUGGCGCUCUCACUGCCGUGGCCCGGGUUCGAUUCUCGGCCAGGGAG
Molecule: transfer RNA, 72 nt
Filed under: Pangasianodon hypophthalmus (striped catfish)
Lineage: Eukaryota; Metazoa; Chordata; Actinopteri; Siluriformes; Pangasiidae
Rfam family: tRNA
About the family: Transfer RNA (tRNA) molecules are approximately 80 nucleotides in length. Their secondary structure includes four short double-helical elements and three loops (D, anti-codon, and T loops).
Source: Rfam by way of RNAcentral